GUUGACCUCGGAUCAGGUAGGAAUACCCGCUGAACUUAAGCAUAUCAAUAAGCGGAGGAAAAGAAACCAACAGGGAUUGCCCUAGUAACGGCGAGUGAAGCGGCAACAGCUCAAAUUUGAAAUCUGGCUUCGGCCCGAGUUGUAAUUUGUAGAGGGAGCUUUUGGCGCGGCACCUACUGAGUCCCCUGGAACGGGGCGCCAGAGAGGGUGAGAGCCCCGUAUAGUGGGAUGCCUAGCCUGUGUAAAGCCCCUUCGACGAGUCGAGUAGUUUGGGAAUGCUGCUCAAAAUGGGAGGUAAAUUUCUUCUAAAGCUAAAUACUGGCCAGAGACCGAUAGCGCACAAGUAGAGUGAUCGAAAGAUGAAAAGCACUUUGAAAAGAGGGUUAAACAGCACGUGAAAUUGUUGAAAGGGAAGCGCUUGUGGCCAGACUUGCGCCCGGCUGAUCAUCCGGUGUUCUCACCGGUGCACUCGGCCGGGCUCAGGCCAGCAUCGGUUCUCGCGGGGGGAUAAAGGCCCAGGGAACGUAGCUCCUCCGGGAGUGUUAUAGCCCUGGGCGCAAUGCCCUCGCGGGGACCGAGGUUCGCGCAUCUGCAAGGAUGCUGGCGUAAUGGCCACCAGCGAC
This 623-nucleotide ribosomal RNA is filed under the name Gilmaniella subornata. RNAcentral describes it as "eukaryotic LSU rRNA". It matches the Rfam family "Eukaryotic large subunit ribosomal RNA", at positions 1 to 648 of the family's 3401-position model. The record is from RNAcentral. Lineage: Eukaryota; Fungi; Ascomycota.